CGCAAGCCUGACGGAGCAAGACCGCGUGCGGGAUGACGGCCUAAUGGUUGUAAACCGCUUUUCUCUGGGAAGAUGAUGACGGUACCAGAGGAAUCAGCCUCGGCUAACUCCGUGCCAGCAGCCGCGGUAAUACGGAGGAGGCAAGCGUUAUCCGGAAUUAUUGGGCGUAAAGCGUCCGUAGGUGGUUAUUCAAGUCUGUUGUCAAAGCGUGGGGCUUAACUCCAUAGAGGCAGUGGAAACUGGAUGACUUGAGUGCGGUAGGGGUCGAGGGAAUUCCCAGUGUAGCGGUGAAAUGCGUAGAUAUUGGGAAGAACACCAGUGGCGAAAGCGCUCGACUGGGCCUGCACUGACACUGAGGGACGAAAGCUAGGGGAGCG
Molecule: ribosomal RNA, 377 nt
Filed under: uncultured cyanobacterium
Lineage: Bacteria; Bacillati; Cyanobacteriota
Description: bacterial SSU rRNA
Rfam family: Bacterial small subunit ribosomal RNA
Source: RNAcentral